This 449-nucleotide ribosomal RNA is filed under the name uncultured bacterium. RNAcentral describes it as "partial 16S ribosomal RNA". It matches the Rfam family "Bacterial small subunit ribosomal RNA", at positions 29 to 523 of the family's 1533-position model. The record is from RNAcentral.
AACGAACGCUGGCGGCAGGCCUAACACAUGCAAGUCGAACGCUGCAGCAAUGCAGAGUGGCAGACGGGUGAGUAACGCGUGGGAACCUUCCCAAUGGUACGGAAUAGCCCAGGGAAACUUGGGGUAAUACCGUAUAAGCCCCAUGGGGGAAAGAUUUAUCGCCAUUGGAUGGGCCCGCGUCGGAUUAGCUAGUUGGUGAGGUAACGGCUCACCAAGGCGACGAUCCGUAGCUGGGUUGAGAGAAUGACCAGCCACACUGGGACUGAGACACGGCCCAGACUCCUACGGGAGGCAGCAGUGGGGAAUCUUGGACAAUGGGCGAAAGCCUGAUCCAGCCAUGCCGCGUGAGUGACGAAGGCCUUAGGGUUGUAAAGCUCUAUUGGCGAGGACGAUAAUGACGGUACCCGCAGAAUAAGUCCCGGCUAACUUCGUGCCAGCCGCCGCGGUAA